UACAGAGGGGGCAAGCGUUGUUCGGAAUUACUGGGCGUAAAGGGCGCGUAGGCGGCCUUCUAAGUCGAACGUGAAAUCCCCGGGCUCAACCCGGGAACUGCGUCUGAUACUGGAAGGCUUGAGUUCGGGAGAGGGAUGUGGAAUUCCAGGUGUAGCGGUGAAAUGCGUAGAUAUCUGGAGGAACACCGGUGGCGAAGGCGGCAUCCUGGACCGAAACUGACACUGAGGCGCGAAAGCCAGGGGAGCAAACGGG
RNAcentral lists this ribosomal RNA (253 nucleotides) under uncultured bacterium. Its description in RNAcentral is "partial 16S ribosomal RNA". It matches the Rfam family "Bacterial small subunit ribosomal RNA", at positions 524 to 776 of the family's 1533-position model. The record is from RNAcentral.